Molecule: transfer RNA, 80 nt
Filed under: Caudoviricetes sp.
Lineage: Duplodnaviria; Heunggongvirae; Uroviricota; Caudoviricetes
Description: tRNA-Leu
Rfam family: tRNA
About the family: Transfer RNA (tRNA) molecules are approximately 80 nucleotides in length. Their secondary structure includes four short double-helical elements and three loops (D, anti-codon, and T loops).
Source: RNAcentral
GUCAGCAUGGCGGAAUUGGCAGACGCGGUGGUCUCAAACACCACUGAGAAAUCGUCCCGGUUCAAAUCCGGGUGCUGACA